AUUGAACGCUGGCGGCAUGCCUUACACAUGCAAAUCGAACGGUAACGGGCCUUCGGGUGCCGACGAGUGGCGAACGGGUGAGUAAUACAUCGGAACGUGCCCGAUCGUGGGGGAUAACGAGGCGAAAGCUUUGCUAAUACCGCAUACGAUCUACGGAUGAAAGCAGGGGACCGCAAGGCCUUGCGCGGACGGAGCGGCCGAUGGCAGAUUAGGUAGUGGGUGGGAUAAAAGCUUACCAAGCCGACGAUCUGUAGCUGGUCUGAGAGGAUGAUCAGCCACACUGGGACUGAGACACGGCCCAGACUCCUACGGGAGGCAGCAGUGGGGAAUUUUGGACAAUGGGCGCAAGCCUGAUCCAGCCAUGCCGCGUGCAGGAUGAAGGCCUUCGGGUUGUAAACUGAUUUUGUACGGAACGAAAAGCCUUCUUUUAAUACAGGAGGGUCAUGACGGUACCGUAAGAAUAAGCACCGGCUAACUACGUG
Molecule: ribosomal RNA, 482 nt
Filed under: uncultured bacterium
Lineage: Bacteria
Description: partial 16S ribosomal RNA
Rfam family: Bacterial small subunit ribosomal RNA
Source: RNAcentral